UUCGCCUUCAUGAAGCUGGAAUUGCUAGUAAUGGCAGGUCAGCAUACUGCCGUGAAUACGUUCCCGGGCCUUGUACACACCGCCCGUCACACCAUGAGAGUUGGGAAUACCCGAAGCCUGUGAGCUAACAUAUGAGGCAGCAGUCGAAGGUAGAAUCAAUGAUUGGGGUGAAGUCGUAACAAGGUACC
RNAcentral lists this ribosomal RNA (188 nucleotides) under uncultured bacterium. Its description in RNAcentral is "partial 16S ribosomal RNA". It matches the Rfam family "Bacterial small subunit ribosomal RNA", at positions 1311 to 1500 of the family's 1533-position model. The record is from RNAcentral.